UGUAGUAAUACAAGGCAGACGGCUCAGUAACGCGUAGUCAACCUACCCUAUGGACGGGGAUAACCUCGGGAAACUGAGAAUAAUACCCGAUAGAACAUUAUGCCUGGAAUGGUUUAUGUUUCAAAUAAUUUAUUGCCGUAGGAUGGGACUGCGGCCUAUCAGUUUGUUGGUGAGGUAAUGGCCCACCAAGACUAUUACAGGUACGGGCUCUGAGAGGAGUAGCCCGGAGAUGGGUACUGAGACACGGACCCAGGCCCUAUGGGGCGCAGCAGGCGAGAAAACUUUGCAAUGUGCGAAAGCACGACAAGGUUAAUCCGAGUGGUUUCUGCUAAAGGAACCUUUUGUCAGUCCUAGAAACACUGAUGAAUAAGGGGUGGGCAAGUUCUGGUGUCAGCCGCCGCGGUAAAACCAGCACCUCAAGUGGUCAGGAUGAUUAUUGGGCCUAAAGCAUCCGUAGCCUGCUUUGUUAGUUUUCGGUUAAAUCCAUACGCUCAACGUAUGGGCUGCCGGGAAUACUGCAAAGCUAGGGAGUGGGAGAGGUAGACGGUACUCGGUAGGAAGGGGUAAAAUCCUUUGAUCUAUUGAUGACCACCUGUGGCGAAGGCGGUCUACCAGAACACGUCCGACGGUGAGGGAUGAAAGCUGGGGGAGCAAACCGGACUAGAUACCCGGGUAGUCCCAGCUGUAAACUAUGCAAACUCAGUGAUGCAUUGGCUUGAUGCCAAUGCAGUGCUGCAGGGAAGCCGUUAAGUUUGCCGCCUGGGAAGUACGUACGCAAGUAUGAAACUUAAAGGAAUUGGCGGGGGAGCACCACAAGGGGUGAAGCCUGCGGUUCAAUUGGA
RNAcentral lists this ribosomal RNA (842 nucleotides) under uncultured archaeon. RNAcentral's name for it is "bacterial SSU rRNA". It matches the Rfam family "Archaeal small subunit ribosomal RNA", at positions 63 to 910 of the family's 1478-position model. The record is from RNAcentral.